Long non-coding RNA from Columba livia (rock pigeon), 25466 nucleotides. RefSeq lists it as uncharacterized. Lineage: Eukaryota; Metazoa; Chordata; Aves; Columbiformes; Columbidae. The transcript has 7 exons. The record is from RefSeq and is a predicted model, not a curated record.
UUUUUUUUUUCGUGAAAAAUUGACGGAAAAUAAAGAAGAGGGGGUAAACAUCUGGAUCUCUUUCUCCCAGAUGCUGCAGGAGAAGCGAUGCUGCCCGAAAAGGUGUGGGAAACGGCACCGGUACCCCAGCCCAGGUGAAGUUUAUGGCAUAAAGUCCCAAUAUCCCGGCGUACAAUGGUCACACUGUAAAUACGUCCUUUUCCAUCAUGUAAGACGUUAAGAUCGUUAGUUUUGGCUGGAAGCAAAAUAUAUGACAUGCAACCCGCUCUGCUAGUGGGUAGAAAAUACACACUGCUCCUGUAAUGUUUCUCAUUAUAUUUCCGCUUUGUUCAUAAAAAAUGACUGAGUUAUGGCAUAAUACAGGAAUCAAGAAAGAGGGGAAAUAUAUCAUAAAGAUGGAAACGAAGACAGCUUGUCAGUUAUAAGUGUAAAUGAAUGCUCGAUUUCUUUUAUAAAGCGAUUCCGCUAUAAAACUAAUCAUCUAAGUAAAAAAAAAAAAAAAAUUAAAAAUUCCUAUUCUGACUAAUAAAUACUUGGCUGCUCCACAUUUCACCCAACCUUGAAAAAUCUCCAGAAACUCGUCAGAGGGGUGUUUUUGUCUUUCUUGAUUCUUGAAUUUUUCCCCGAAUUUUGUGGGCUUGCGUUUUAUUAGGUUAAUAAAACUUGGUUUUCAAGGUUUUGGACGCCUCGGGGGUACAAUGAGCUCGGAUGUCAAAUGCAUCAAAUAGCUAAUGAAGGGAUUUCAAAGGUCUCCAAAGUGUCCAUAGCAGCAAUUUGUAGUGUCUCAUAAAGGUAAAGCCCAUUCUGGCUACGGCGUGUUUUGUCUGACAGUUUUCCUCCAACAUCGAUCUGCUGUUUUAUUCCGAUUUUAUACCGGUUUUAAAUGCCCCAGUCUCGCCGUCAUAAGUUUUGUGGUUAAAUCAAAUCAAACCACCAUCCUCAAGCGAGCUCACACCGGUAUUACUCAGAAAGGGCAAAUGGGGAGGGAAAAAAUUUCCAAACAUAUCGUGCAUCACAAGGAUUUACCCAAAGGCACCGAGAGAGUGAAACGAUAUGAGGGACAAUCCUUACCCAAGGAAACAGUUUAUUUUGUGAAGGUCUUGUUUGUGAGGGAGUAAGGGGAAAUCAGAAAUCAGAAAUGGUUUUUCCCCUUUCCUUUCCUCUCUUUUCUUUUUUUUUCCCCCCUUUUUUAAUCUUUUUUUUCCUUUUUUUUUUUUUUUUUUUUUCCCCUGGUUGUUCUUAUUUCAACUUCUUUUCUGCUCGCUAAAUACUAUUUCUGGGGGCUGAGCUCGGUGCGCAGGCGGGUGUCAGUGAGGGAUGGAGAGAGGCUGCGGUGGGUCCCCCGGCUGCUCCAGCCACGGCUCUCAGUUCUUCCUCCAAUACUUUCCCUUGAUUUGCUCUUCAUUCCCCCCCAGCUCGGUGCUCUUUUACCAAAACAAGCAGCCUCCCGGUCCCAUCCCGCAUUUCGUCCGUGCGGGUCUCGGCUUCCCCUGGGAUUGCGGUGUGUUUGUGUAAUUCUCCGGCGAAUGAACUUUCCAUUGCCAGCUUUCCUCCGCCUUUUCACAAAUACAGAGCUCAAUUAACAUCGCUGCAUAGCAGUUACCUUUGAGCUAAGCUUCUAUAAUAAAUUACCCGCACUCCCACUUGCAGAUAGCGCUGUUUUCUUCCCCUCCCGAGAUUUCAGUGGUCGGUAAAGCUGCUCUUGCGAACAGGCCGGUGUCUGCUGGAAAACCUUGCUGGCAGCUCGCUCUGUCAUUUGUUACGAGCCCUUCUCGGUUGCCAAAUUAAAGACAUCACCCAUAAAAAGAAAAAAUAAUAAUAAUAAUACAAAAGAAUCUCUGCCGCAUUUUUGCAGCCGCUCCUUCUGCUAUGGGGGACACCCAGAGCCUCGGCAACCCCUGGGCAGGGGAGGGGACGGGGAUGGAGAGGGGCCUGUUGUCACCUUUAAAACAAAAGGGCUGCUCUGGAGCCCAUAGAUCAGCAGCGGUCAAAGCUUUCCUAAGGCACAGAUCUCUCUAUGAGGUUAGAACAGCCGUGUUAAUCUUCUAUUCCGUGUUUACAGAGCCAGCUCAUCCGUGGGGUGGGUGGAAAGCGGCCAGCUCGCAAGAGAACGCUCUUUAUUAAAAAAUACGGAGUUAUGUUGCUUUUAGCAGUGACCCCGGAGCGCGUCCCGCAUUUUGGGGUGGAGGGCAGCUCCUCUUACCCGGGGCUCCCGCAGUCCCGGCCCCGCACUCUCCGGGGGGGCUGCAAGAAAUGGGAGCUGGGGGGAAGGUCUCCAGCCGCCUUCAGCGAUAUCUAGCGGAGCCCCCACCGAAGAAAAACCCUUGCGGGGACUUGAUGGGUUACUUUCGCCCAGACGGGGGCCUAAAUAAGCCAACCCACCCCCCGGCAUUGGGCGGCGGCCGCUGCCCUCGAAGCGCGUCCCCCCCCGCGGCGAUGCGGCGGACGCGCUCCCGGAGCUUUUAUUUAUUCAUUUAUUUGUUUGUUUUUACGUAAUGAGCCGGGGGGGUGGGGGUAGCCUUUCGGUCCGUGUCAGUAGUCAGAGAUCAUCAUUUUCGAAACGGGAAGAAAAGAGAGAAGGAACGGUUGAAUCGGGGAAAACUUAGGGAAAGCUGUGAAAAAAAAAAAAAAAAAAAAGAAAAACAAAGACCAAGAACAACCAAAUCUCCCCUUGCUACACUCAUCCUUGUGCGAAAUGCACUUUUCGAAGAAAUGCCAGCACUGAACUCUCUCAUUUCUCCAUCCUGCUUGUCCCAGCCCGUGGGAAGAUAAUUCUUCGGAAAGGGCUGCACACCCUGCACGGGGGUACAGGAGCUGCCAAAAGGAGCUGGGGACAAAUGAGCUGAUGUCGGUGUUUCUGCCGGGCAAGCAGCCCCCAGCGUUUGGGAGGGGGGGUGCCCGGCCGUCUCCCCCCGCCGCUGCCCUGCGCUCUGCCGCAGCGAGCAGCAAAACGAGCGAAAUCGGGAGAUGUUUGGGAUCCGCGGCCGCGUACCUGGCCCCGGGAGAUACGUUUCCGUGGGGUAAAAAUGCAGCAGUGAGGGGGGAUCGGAGCAGCGCUCGAGGUGCGCAGCGCCCUGCGCUCCCUGCGCUGCGCUACGCGGGGCUGCGGCCGGCCCGCACUCCCCUCCCCGCCAAAGCGCCCGGCCCGCGCGAAUUUGUUGCAUUUCCCUCGGUUGAUUGUUUAGUUAGAGAUUUUGCCAACUUCCUGAUGGUUCGUUUUCUGAUUCUGGAAAAAAAAAAAAAAAAAAAAAAAAAAAGAAAAAAGAACCGCAUUUCCUUUUUGACUUAAGAGGGAGAGAGAGAGAGAAGCAGAGGCUGGGGGCUGGUGGACGCAUCGAGCUACAAACCACUCCCGGCCAAAGCCAAAGCUACACAGUUCAUCUGAAAUCCCACCUGAAAUUCUGCAGCUGCUUGUAAAUAAGCAAAAUGAUAAAGAAGAAAAAAAUCCCCAUUAGAACUUGUAAGAGCUGCCUCAAGAAUGGAUUUCCUGAGUUGAUUACCUUAGAACAAGUGGCACAAGAAGAAGAUGCAGAAGGGCUAUUCAUCACAGAUCUCUGACUCCACGCUGCAUCCAAAUGUGCUAAAACCCUGAAAAGCACUGACGUAGGAGAGCCCUGCUUGUCCUGGCCUGAUCCUGAAUGACACUGACACUCACUGACUUUUCCCCAUAACAGAUGCUUGGGAAAUAAAGAGAGAAAUUGAAUAACAGUAGAAAAAAGCAGGCUUAUUUCCAAAUACAUCCUUUAAAUACAGGACAUCGUGCUUGUGUGGCAAGGACUUAAUACAACAUUGACCAGAUUCUUCAUCUGUGCAAGCCCAGUUUUGCUGACUUUUUUACCCUACUGUUUGCCCAAUGGAGAAUAUGGAGAAAGAGAAAGAACAGAGCCUUCCCAGGAAAGAAUAAAGCUCAAAUAUCAGCUUCUCAAACUCAAUAAAGGAACAAGGAGGGGUGGUGCAUUGCAGAAAUUUUCCCCGGACAGUUAUCCCACCUGUAAUCCUUUGCUGCUUGCUGGAACACCUCUUGGUGCUGCUUGGCCUGGGGCAGUGAAGAAGAGGACACUAAAGUCAGCCUGUCCCCCUUGUCUUCCCCACCAGCAGUUGCACUAGAAGAUGACUGAUGGCUGUGUUGUGCUAUAACGUAGGCAUUUUUCAGCUGGACACCGUAGGGUGUCUGUAUCCUCAUGCCUUUCCCUGCCCUUCACCUUAUUUAGCCCUUUGCAACAGGCUGUAGUGAAAUAAUCUUCACAACAGCAAGAACACCAAAUAACUCACGAUGUGCCUCAAACUGUGAGAAAAGAGUAUCUGAUCCUCCCCAAACACAGACCUGCUCACUUCAAAGAGGGCUCUCACUACAGUUGCAGAUAGGAGGUUAUUUGGUAUGGACUUCCAGUCUGACCUGCUGAAGCUGUUCAUAUCUUCUUGUGAGCCUAGACUUCCAAGUGCUGGAAGACACAGCAAACAAAAUGCUCAUUGUGUUUGCAGAUGAAGGGGAAACACUUGUGAAAAACACUGGAGCUGAACUUCUGAGAAGCCCUCAACUCAGAGGUUUCAAAAUAUUUCUCAGCAAACCCUGCCAGAACCCACCACCGAUGUGCUGUAGUUGUGAGAACACAAGAGAGAAGAAGCAUCGUUUACAUUCCCAGCACAAACAUCAGGUGAUGCAGGACAAGCUGGUCCAGGUCCAGUUUUCUUGAAGUGGUUUUUGACCAGAAUUCUCAGUGAGGUGUCCAAAUUUAGGCACCAAUUCUCAUGUUGUCUUUGUGGUACACCCAAACCACAGGUGGAGUCUAUAUGUACUGGGGUAUGCGCAGAUGACCAUAUGGCCUUGCUCUCUUACUGGAAACCGUUUAGAACUGACAGAAGGCAACGUAACAUGGGCUUCCUACCUGGCACUGGGGCCCAUGUUCCUGCCACAAAAUGACUUCCAUUACAAGAGUCAGAGAGCAAGAACUUAUACACUACAGCAUGAACCAUGGUGUGCUGUGUUUCUUGAAGGGAGUAAGACCAUCUAAUUGAGGUGUCCAUGGUCUUAAAUAACUUGAUUUUCCAAAGAACAUGAAGACUGAGCAUUUCCAUUGAAGCUUAAGCAGGGAAGGAAGAAAAACUCAGCAUCUUUUCGAAUCACUGCACAGUUUGUGUCAUUUCAUUACCACCUUACCAAGUCUAUGCUCUUAAAACAGGUCUUUAUCCAAUCCCUGGGUUGCUGCAAGCAAAUCAGAUACAUAUAGGUGACUGGCGUCAGUUCAAUAAUAUGGGUUGUAUCAAGACUCAGGAUUUUCAUAUUUCAAAGGAUGUUAUGAUUUUUAAAAUCACAAACAGGAACAUAUUUGUGCGCAGACCCAUGCUGUGUGUUACAUUAUCCACUUAGACUCAUAUUACAAAAAUAAGCUGUAAACACUUUUGAUGAAAGGACUGGAAACUUUGUUUACACCCUGAGAAUGGACUUUUGUUUUAAUGCCCAAUUUCACUCUGGUAUUUCACCUUUCCCCUCUGUUUUACAUAUAUUCUGUCAUUUAAUUCCAGCUUGCUAUUUAUUUAUCUUUGUGCAGGGAAAAAAACAAGGAAAUUUUUUUUAGAAAAAGCAUAAGUAAAUACAUUUACAAAAAAGGUGUUCACUCAGCUCUUAGCUAAAUGUAUGCAGCAAAUCACAGUCUGUUUACCCUGAGAGUGUUUUAGUUGGGGUCUUAGGUGAUUUCCACCAGCAAUGAAUGAGCGUUAGCUAAAAGCAAAAUGAAAAACCUUUUACCUGUCAAGACAUUAAUUAAAGUUUAAUUAUCUCCUGUUUGCAUAGUGCUUGGAAGAUGUGAAAGUGUUUUGGAAAUCCUGGCCACACUAAGGCCUGCACUGGCUACUGCUGGAGUAGCUUUUGGCAUUAGAAAUACCCAGUAUGGAAUCGGGGCUUACUGCAUCGCAUCAAGGUGUUGCUGUCUAAGGCCUGUCUGAGGUUGUGAUGUUAACACACAAGAAAUGCACAUCCUGACAGGUCCAUAAAAGCAGUUUUUUUAUAUAGUUUUUAAAGGCUGGAAUCCAUCCUAGCUGGCUAAAGCUUUCCCACAAAUUAAACCUUGCCUCAAGGCCAUGCUGUGCCAGAAGAAGUCAGUGCAAGCACCGUGUCUCUCACUGAAUGGCCCAAACCACCUCAGCAAGGAUGAGGUCUCCAUCACGAGGUCCAGCAUCUCGGACACUUUAUGCAACAGAGCCCAUCCUAAAGGCACCUAAAAUAGGUCAGAGGAUGAAAUUUUGGCUUAUUUAGUGUCCUUUGCUCUUGGGGCAACCACACCAAAGGCCUUCCUUCAAAGGUGGCUUGCACAGAGGAAGAGGCAAGUUGGUAUUGGUCAGAAAUAUUGUCAAAAUUAUUUCCUCACUCCAGGAAGCCCAGCUUUUUUAUGGAUUUUAUUGUUCUUUGCAGGCACUGUGGUAGAAGAAAAUGUUAAAGGAGAGCUUUGAAGAAAGGAAAUAAGCUAGUUGGAUGGAUAUUUGUGGUAGGAUCUCCUCCCAGCUCUGAGGAAUAGGGUGUGAGAAAGAACAUGUAGGAAGUGGGGUGAUGGCUGGUGCUGUUACAAGUGGGUGACUGUAGGGUUGGGUGCUUGAUCAUGGAAGAGAGAGAGCCAAGUGUGCCCAACUGUGACCUGCAUGGAAAGGGAGAACCAGCACCUUUGGCUGAACAGGACAGAGAAGGGGAAUCUCAUAAAGGCAUUUAAAAAAUCGGGUUUCAUAUUCAGACCAGGACCUUUUCAGAAAAGAAAGUAUGAGGGCCUCCUUUUACUGUGUUUCAAUCUGAUUUCUAGAAGGAGUUUCCACAGAUUUCUGAUCAUCAUCUGAAUUCUGACAUUUUUCUGAACCACCAUUUUUUUUUAUUAUUUACUUUUUUUUUUUUUAAUUUAUUUAAUUUUUAUUUAAUGUUUACCCAUCACUGUUUGCAAAUGAGCGCUUUGGCUGCCUUUUCUCCCAGACUUUUAAACUGCCCAGGCACGAUUAAACAGUAAAAAAUGUCACAGAAUUCACAGAGAGAGAGAAUAAUAGUGAAAUCUGUUCCUAAUUUUUUUUAUAUUUCAUAUGGGAUGCAAACCGUUUACUCCAUAGUAAUUGCAGAUGUUAGACUGAGACUGUAAUAACGUAUCUGGCAAUAACUCUAUUGCUUUACCACAAAAAGCUUCCCAGUAGCAUUAAAAAGACAACAGAAACAAUAGUUUCAACACAUUCAUAUGUACUAGUAUUCUGGAAGCACUCAAGCUACUGAUUUACCAUGUAAACUUUUGCUGGUGUAUGCAUGAACUCCGAAUAUUUUCUCAUACUGUUGUUUAAGAGACGACAAUCCCAUAUCCAGUCAUGCAGUCUCUUAAAUUUGCAGACAAGUUUUCCUUCUAAUGUGUUAUAAAGCUCUUUAUGUCUUUUAUAUAUCUCUCUCUUUAUUUUUGCCUCUUUUUUAACAUCGGUACAUUCUGGUUUCUUUGCCCAUUUCAACAUAGUGUGCUGGAUUGCAAUUUUGAAUUCAAAUCUAAAAUUCACUGCAGUUCUUGAAAACAAUCUAAGAGUUUGCCUGGGUUUUGAGCUACUUGUGUAACAGAAAUAUAUAUAACAGGUGGUACAUAAAGCAAAUACCCUGAAAUCAACCUCUCCAAGCUAUGUGGAUGCUCUUAUCACACAUUUUCAUAUGCAAGACACAACCAGACACAUGUCACUGUGCCUUCAAAGUACCACAUUUUUGUCACAGAUGUUUUGCAUAAAUAAAUGGUGUCAUACAGGCUGAUUAAAUCAAUACAUCUGUAUCAACUUGCAGUUCCUGACAGCAUGUUCCAGAGGAUAUCUUCUGCUCCCACUGUACCCUUUGAAAUUGUAGAUAUAAACAAAUAAUAAUAAUAAAAACACCUUGUUUUUCCCAGGUUAGCUUUUCAUCUUUAUCUAACAAUAACAGUAGCUGCUCUGAUUAUCACAGAGAAAAAUAACACAGAGAUAAUGUGGAUGAAGCUGUUUCAGCGCAAGGUUAUCCAGUCUGGUGGUACUUUAAACCACAGCUCAGCUCCAGUGUCAUCAGAUCCCCGAGCUGGAAAGUUCUUGUACUACAAUUUAGGUUUUCCAGCCAUUCCAUUCUAAUCCAAUGCUCAUACAGAGAAGUCUUAUUUUCUUUCCAUCCAUUGUUGCAUAUUUGUGUGUUUGGUACAGUAGUGUGAGAUUAGGAAAUUUCAGUUUGAAAAAGGGCCUGGGGGCUGUGGUUUCUGGUUGUGUUCGCAUUGCAAGGAGGUCACUUCUCCAUUGAUAUUUGCUGAAAGUAAUGAAAUUCAUAGCAUGCCAGUAAUAAUAUCACGUUGUGUAUCUGUUCUGUGCGCCUGGAUGUCUUCAGAUUCUUUAUCUAUCGUGUGUGAGUUUAGUAAUGGUACUAACAGUGUGAGAUCAGAACUGGGAAGGGGGAUUUUAGGGACUUUACAGCUACCAGGAGAAUAAAAAAUCCCAUAGAUAAUGUUCACAGUUUUCUAUUUAAAUUAAUAGCAAGUAAACAGAUGAGUAACAUAUGGUAAAAAUAACAAUUUUUGGCACAGAAGACAGACUCCCAUUAGGAUUUCAGGAUCACGUUCUCCUCUGGCUGCCCACUUCUGCCUCCAUUCCUGGGUUUCCAUCGUUUAUGGAGCACUUAACGAGCUGGUCUCACUAUGUCACCAUGUGCCUGUGCCAUCCCUAGAUGCAGCAAGUCAAGUGAUCUAGCCAAACUCAACACAAGCUGCUAUCAGGCUGAAUUUUGGACCCCUGCUGCCAGCUAUACUGAUUAGAUUUAUUUUUGUAUUUUAUUGUAGUUGAUUUGGUUUUGAAAAUAGACCUAAGCCUCAACCCUGUAUCCACAAGUUGAUGAGUAUUAGAGGUAAUCAUGAAUAAACCCAGCACAUGGCACACCAAGGCAUAAGCACUUUUGAAAAAAGCAAUAUCAAUGUUACCUUUGGCUUUUACAUGUCUUUGGUGUCAGAUAUUGCCAGGACCCCACACAAACUGGAAAAACAAAACAAAACAAAACAAAACAAGCCUCUUGGAAUCAGACUAGACAGGUUAUAAGUACUAAUAGUCAGGAUUUCUUAGCAUCAUCCUCCCACAACUCUUUUUAGGUAGUUUACAGGGUCAACAUCAGAGACAGCAUCUGAGCACCUUUCUUAUAAAACUAUAGCGACAUAAAGCUAUAAAUGAGCAAACAAUUUAGGAAAGAAUGAGUGAGAAAGUGUAUAUUCCCUCUCUCCAAAGAUACGACGUUUUUUGGGUAGCUGGGAUAUUUCUGCAUUCAUUAUAUGCAUCUUGGCUUGGCUUCUCUUCAACCUCCAAGUUUUACAGAAAUGUAUCUCCGUAUCACUGUGACCUUCCAAAGACAUCAGUCUGGCUAGGAAAUCCAGAGAAUUUCUGGCGUAGAGGGUACUGACUCACUCAUUGUUCCUGUUCAUUGUCAGUUCAGGAAUUUCCUCUGGUUUGGUUGGUAGGAAACAAUCCAGCCAAUGGCAGUUGUUGGUAUUUUGCUGUUGUUUGCCAGGAGUCUAAACCCCAAAAUAUUUUCUCUUCUCAACAGCAUCAUGUUUCUGAUUAAUCAGGGUCAACUCUUCUUUUCUCGCCUGACCUCUAGUAGUGACCCCAAUGUUCCUUUUAAUUUCCUUGAUCUAUUUGCUACAUUCCCAGCCGGGUCUCCGGAGUGUUGAAGGUUGAAAAUAAUUUCCAAACACCUUCAGCUGAGUUGUGGUUCCAGUUAAACUGGUCUGAAUCAAGACUCGCUCUGCAGUAAUCGCUGGGCAAAAUUGACGUGGGAGCCAAACCACAGUUUAUGACAUUAGGGAUUAUGUCUUUCAAGGGGAAAAAGAAAGCUCUCUCAUAAUUUCUAUAGUAUUUCCCUUGCCUUACUAAGCCAGAUGCCUCUCUGUCUUCCUCAUCAGCGGAAUGUCCUCUUUAUAAAGAUGUUUUCCCAGCUUCCUUCAUCAGAAGAUAUCAAGACAGAAGAAUGACUGUAUUGGCUGGAGCAUGGUCAUGGGAUGUGGGAUCUGCUGCUGCGUCUCUGGAUGGCUCCAUCCAUCCUCUUCACCAUGAAAUCCAGACAGACAACAGGGACUAUUUUUGAGACAUGCUUCUGGGGAAAGAGAUGGAGCUGGUCUUAUUUUUACUAAAAAAAAAGUAAGACAGCAAGGGAAUGGCUAACAUCCUCACUAAAACAGAUAUUUCAAGCUGGAUGUCACCUUCUUUCCAGCUAACCAUGCCUUCUCCGAAGGAUCAGUUCUGAUAGAUGUCUGCUGUUUCAGUUGGCUGCAUCUGGGAGGUAUAAACUCCAUCAGAGAUGAGCUCAAGCUGUGAAGUUCGAAGAGGCUGGUGGGGUCUGAGCUUUUGGGGCCAUGCUCAGGACCUCAGGAGUCAGAUACUGCUCAGCAGGGAGCAGGGGAGCUUGCUUUGACACAGAAGGUUUCUGCAUGGGGAGGCCCAGAUGAUGGAUUUGGACUUGAAAAUGUAACCAUAAUAUAUUUACACCAUAAUGUAUAUAAUGGGUGUGUGUAUGUGUGUGUUCGUGAAGGAAUGUUGGAAGGGGGUUUGUGCAAUAAGGCAUGAUUUAUGUCGGCUGCGUAGAGGAUCUAGCCUCCUUUUAUCCCAUCUGAAGAACCGUCUGGGAAUUUCAUCACAGUAGGAAAACAGGGAGGUGAAAAGGCAUCCUUGCUUUCAGUGAUCUAACCCAAAUCCAGCUCAGUAGCAUCUGAGAGCAGGUUACCACAAGCAUAGUCCUGGUGCCAGGACUUCAACAGUUUCCAUUUCCCCAUAAAGACCAGCUCACAUAUCCAGCGGAGAUGAACAAAAUUUCCAUUUGCCAUGGUGGGCUCAUUAGUUACAGGUAAAAGUUUGUUCUCCUUGCUGGCUAAAUCCUUUAAGGGUACUUUGGGUCCAUUCCUAGUCCAAUUAAAGUCAAUAGGAGCAGGAUUGGGCUCCAGAAGGUAUUAUUCUUAAUUUAAACAUUAAUAGUUUAACUCUCUGUUGUUAAUAAUAAUAACCCCUUGGAAAAUUCGGGCUGAAAUCCGUUUCCUUGCUGAAUUUCUUUUCUCCCAUCAGGCAUGCAAACUGGUUUGUUAUUGUUGGGUUACUCUUGAGUGUUUUGGGUUGCACACACUGGUUUGUUAUUGUUGGGUUGUCCUUCGGCUCUGGGCCACGCACACUAAUUUGUUAUUGGAGUGUUGCUCUAAGCUACACACUCCAGUUUAUUACUGAUGGGUUGUUCACUGUGUGUUGGGUUGCUGUCCUUGUUUUACGAUUAUUAUUACUGAGGUCUUUUGUGAAACUCCUACCCACACAAAUAGAAGGGCAGGAACUGUGGCAAAUUUAACGCAAUGUUUUGGGUUUAAUGCAUUUUGCUUAACUUUUAAAAGGGGACUAAUUAAGGCUUUCAGAAUUAGGAAACCAGCUUCUUACUUUAAUAUGGUUUAGAAUACCAUUUCCUUCCCUACUUCCUUUUCUUCCCACAUCCUUCUUUUGAAACAUAACUUUUUAUAGGUAUCCUAUCUUCCAUCUUAAUGCUCCUGUUAGCUUACCACUGGCCUUACAGGAAAAACUUCUUUAUGGAAGAUUUCCUUUCAGGUUCAGUGCAAAAGCAAAUAUUCAUGACCCUUAGUCUUAAUACUUACUUCUCUUAUGUCUUCAUUUCAUUUUGGUUCAUACAUUGAUGAUAGGAAAAUUAAAAAAAAAAAAAAAAGAAAGAAAAAAAAAAGACAAAAAGAUUGGAAAAUACGUGUUGGACAGGAAUCUGGUAUAAUUACAUGACAUAAACCAAAAUUUUUCAUUUCCAUUAUUACUGAACAGUGUAAUAUUGGAUACAAUUUUAAUUUUCCUGGUUCCACAAGCGAUGCCAUUGGUGAUCUGGCAAUGUUAAUUUGGUGAAACUGAACUGUUUUACCAGGUCAGAAGUAACUGUGAAAUAAAACACUAUGAUAUAGAACAACUAAGACCUUUCAAAUUACCACUGUUUGCAUCUUAUUUUCCUUUGUCAAACAUUUUUUUGUACCAUUAAGCUUCUCUUAGAUUUAAAAAAAAAAAAAAAGAGUUUGAGUGGAGUAGGUAUAUCACUCUUUGGCAAAGGUGAAAUAAAGGAGCUAUGAAGUGAAUAGGGCUGCUUUCCACAGCAGUCGUUAUUUAUCUGUUCUAUUAAUAUAUUUAAACAAAGAAGGAGAGAACUCUUGGGUAAUUAAUGUGGUAUUACCUGCAAGACCUGUCUCUCUUCCAUGUAUACAACUAGGUUUGUGUGUGUUUUCAAUCCAGUUAAAUGACUGUAAAACCUGAAAUGUGAGCUGAAGAGACCUCCUCAUUGCUAUAUCUAACUGCCUGCUAUCAAAGCUGACCACAUCAGUCUUGUUGAGCUCCAUCUUGAAACCAGUUAGGGUUUUAUUCUGCAUUCCCUGCUCCUCUGGGCACAUCUGAACAGCGGUCAUGGACCGGACAUUCACUGCAGACAUGAACAUGGAAAUGUCCUUGAAUUUUUUUCUCCACAUUGUCUACCAAACCCCAGAGAAUGCAUGUUUGCAGCUUAGAAAGGGAAGUGAUUAUUAGGUUUGUUUUAAGAGGCCAGCUAAGGUGCAGCAGUUCAGCCCUCAAAGUCAUGGGCAGAUUGGGAGGAGACCAACCAGGGCUAAGCAGUAAAUCUCUCUCAGACUGGCUUCUCAUCUCUGGGCAAAAGCUGACCAGAGACUAAAGAAGCAUUUUCACUAUCCUGCAACACAAAAGUUGCACUAUUGGUGUAAAAGCCCUCACUGGUUGGGACAUUUGCACCACAUCCCAGCUCCAUUCUGGGAAGCGAAAUACAUUUUAAGCACAAAUUUCCAAAUAACAACAUGUCAUGCUCCCCACAGAUGCUGCCUGCUCCUCAAAAAAAUAGCAGUAUCUUUUGAUUUUCCUAGCCCAAACACCACUUGCUUCAAGUCUUUAUUUUCCUUUUGAUAGAAUUCAUUUUCUGAGGGCCGCACGGGCAUGGCUGGGGCUGGUUGCCUUCAGCAGCAUGCUCCAUGCCUGAAUAAAUGGAGCAAGGGGGCUUGGUGCCAAAUCCUGCCCUCAGAUAAACACUCCCAAUGUUCAUUGACUUCUCCACAAGCUGCCAGUGCAUAUCUUGAGGGCAGCGCUUGGCCUACGGAUGUGUUGUUUUGGUUAUUUUGCAAUUCCAGUGCAGAAAUGGGUUUUUUCCUCUCUGAAGGAAAGGAGUUCAGUGCCACAUCGCAGCCAGCUGGUAGAUGAAGCCCAGCGGGUUUAUCGGCAAUGACUUAACUACUGGGCUGUGUUGGGAAUCUCAUGUUUUACAGCUGGGAUAUAGGAUCUCUGAUAUGAACACCCCAGGAUUUAUUGGUCCCACAAGGACUUGGGGUUUUCCUGGCAGUGCAGUUCAGAGAGUCAAGAGAAGUCAAAGGUUAUCUUUUGUAGGGUAGUAUGGGAUUUACCAGCUGACCCUUCCCCCCUCCUCUGGUUCAUCUGCUAGAAUCAUUAACGAGCUUUCCUUUACCCUCCAGAACUGUUAGUGUCUUUUUAGCACUGAGAUCAAGUUACUGACCUUUGCGGUGCCAAUAUACCUUGAGGAUUUCAAGAGCUCUGGGGUAUUUUCAGUGUUAAAAGGAACAACAUGAAGAAAGAUGAAUAGGUGUCUCUCUUGCCCAAAAUCAAGCUUCAUGUUUUUAUCCCUUGUUAAAGUGAGGCCUUGCUUGUUUAUAUGUCACCAUUUUGAGGGAUUUUUUUGUUUCAGAAAAAGCUUCCCUUUUGCAAUGUGUUGAAAAAAAAUGGGGAGGAAAGUGGGAUGUAAAAAUGAAUUAAUGCCGAACUGGGGAUGGUGCUUUCCAUCCCAGGGAAUCAGGAAGAUGCUGUUGGUCCCACUUAGGAAUGAUAAGGAAAUUAUUUUGGCGUUUAACCACACUGGAGAUCAUUUCACAUCUCUCCCAAGCUUUCUGCAGGUGACACACAGGGUCUGCUGAAGUCCUUCUCUCACCCUGUUGUGCCUGGAGGUGGACAGCAGGAUUUGGGGGAAAAUCGGCAGGCAAGAAUUGCUGUUCCACUCUCCAGAUGGGCUCUCCACCCCUCCAGCCCCUCCAUCAGGUCUCCUUGCACAGGUUUCAGCAAGUUUUGUUUUCAGUUAAACUCAUUUUGGAACAAGGCCACCACAAAAUUAACAAAGAAAUAAUAAUGAUCCUGCACCAUCUAGCUGGGCUUUUCCCGCUGUAUCAAAGAACAGCUCUCAGAGGUCAUUUAAGGCCUCUUGGUGAUGUCCCUUCCUCUCUUCUCCCAUCCCUUGCCCCAUACAUCAGCCACCUAAUCACUUGUGAAACCCAAAGCAGGGGGCUCUGAUGUUAUUGCAUUACAAAAUCAAGAUUUAUCUGAACAUGAGAAGCCUCUCAGGGUUUUAUGAUAUGCAUGGCGCCAUUCCUUUCUGUUAACCUAUUUGUUACUUUUAUACUUGGGAACUUUUUAUCAUUCUUGACACCCCUCCAUCUGUUCCCCACCAUUCAGAAGCUGGGGGUCUUGUUUCACAGGACAGCAAGGAUGAAAUCACUUCAUCUCAAUCAUGGGUUACAGUAAUUAAGUAACUGUUUGAACACUUGGAUUUUGAUAUGCUUUUGGGAUAAAGUCCCUGGGCUUCCUUUUAUUCCCAUCCUUCACAGAAUUUGACUCUCUUACAGCUACUACUCCACCAACUAUUGACUUUAAAAUUUAAUAUGUUUUCUUUUUUAUUCUAAUAACAGAAAGAAUCUGAAUAUCACACUUCUUUCUUGUAAAAGUAAGGCAGGGGACAAAUGUUCUCAGGCAUUAAUUAUACCAGAUUAUCUGAUAUCAGGAUCCAGAAAGUAGAUUUUUAAUGCAUAGUAUAAAGUGCAAAAAGAAGUCAGGGAAAAAAAAAUCUCUUUGUUUUCACAGCAACAUCAAGCCAUUUGGAACCUGUUAACAGAGCAAAACAGUUCCAAGACUCUAUUGGUUAAUAGCAAUUAUAGUGAUGCAACAACCAGUUCAGUGACAUGACCGACACCUUCUUGCCAGCACUUUUAAUGAUCUAGUUAAAAAGUUAAACUCUGUUUGCAUUACAUGGAACCCAUCAGGAAAUUGGAAAAUAUUGUACAUGCUUCAAGCUCUGCUGAUUCCAGAGCCAGACCCUCUGUGCAUGCUGCUUCACUGCAAGCCUGUAUUGGCAAAACACAAGAAGUUCCUGCAUGUUGUUCCGUAGAUGACAAUAUGCAGAUACAUGAAGAAAGGCUCAUGGAUAGGGCAUUUGCUUCAUUAAAUCUGAGUGGGUUUUGCACUCAGCUCCAGCCCAGUGGAUCCUGAGUUUUUUGUGGAACACACCAUCACAAAGCACAUCGCAACUGCACAGCAAUUGUCCUGCAAACAUCACCUAUCCCUUGUCUAGACCUGGCUGGAGCUGACACUCUCUGCAGACCCUGGUGUCUUCUCAUUGAAGGUCUCAGAGGAAUGGCAGAGACUGGGUGACUUCACUCCAUAAACCAAGAUCUGACCAGAGCUGCUGGAGCAGGUCUUUGACCAGCAAAUGUUUUUAUUAAUUAAGGUCAGGUAUGUACAUGUCAGGUAUGGAGCUGUAAGAAGGAUUAUAAAAGUGUCUAUACAAAAUGUGAGUAUAAAUACAGCUAAGUAUCUGCCAGGUCCUCAGCUGAGUGGACUUUGCUCCCAAAAAAGUAUUUUCUUGCUUCAGAGGGAAUAUUUGUAACACAAAGAUUGGCUCCACCUGACUGUAGAUGCAAAUGUGCUGCAGACACUGAUGCUGAGCUAAAACAUGAGAAGUUCAGAAAGUUAGUAACUCAGCAUGAUUGAAGGAAAUUUUAAGUCUUUUGCUAGGUCUUAGUAACAUGGCUCUCUGCUGGCUUUAAAGUUCAGUUUAAAAAAUUAGCCUCUUCUGCCUUAUUUAGACUCUGUGCCCCAGCCUCACUGAGCAAGAGAGCUGGGAGGCACAACAAUUUAGAGAAGUUCAAAUAACUAAACUGGCCGUGACCUGAACUAAAACUAAUAGUUUGUGUUUGUGAUGGCUACGAGAACGGCAUCUGGCUUACAUUUAAAUAGAGGGCUAUUCAAUAAAGCCACUGCUUCUCAAAACUGCACAGAAGCAAAGAUUAAUUAUUGCAACUAAUGACGUUUCAGCCAUUCAUGCACCCAAGGGAGAAAGGCAACCCCCUGCCCCAAGAAACUAAUAACAACAACAAAAUCUUGCAGAAAGCCCAACAAGGGAGAAACACCAAGGACAUAUUGUUGUUCCUGAUACUCUGCCCAGGCAUCCUAAACAUGGAAUUAAAUAUAAUCUUUACCAGCAAACUCUUUUUGCUUGUUGUCCUCCCAAAGGAGAACCCAGAGUUUCAAAUUGGCUUUUAAUAGCAACACUGAGAACCCAGCCUCUAUGUCUUCCAGCGUCUUAGGAGAUCAUGUUUCACAUUUCACUCAUUCCUCAGUGUGUUGGCACAGCCUAACACUGGCUUCAGACAUUUGGUAUUUGAAACAGAAAAUCUUGGUGUUUCAUUCCUUGCCUCACUUCUCUCUGUGUUUCUCCAGCAUCAUAUAAUAUUGACAACCCCUGCCUGUAAAGAAAGGCCAGGUUCUCUCGUUUAUUCAGCUGCAGGCUUUAAAAAUGUAGAAUAGGGGUUUUGUUCACAGGAGAGAGCAACUGGCAGUGAACUUUUUCCUUCUUUACAUAAAAGUAGGAUAGCACAAUAAACAAUGGUAAGUGAAGUGGGACCCAAGGUAUGUAUGCACAUAUGUAAUAUUCAGCUGGCUAGCUUUUUAGUGCCCCAGUUUCAGGGUACAAACCUGCUCCCAUUUGUGUGAGCAAUUCAUAUACUUUAAUAAUCUCAGGUCUUGCACCUUCAUACAUCAAAAUUUGUAGGGAAAGAUCUGGCCAUCCAUAUGCCUCAUGGUUUGGUGAAUCAUAUACUGAAGCAUGCCAGUGACCACAGUGACCUAUACUUUUUAAAUGCAGCAUUUCUUGAAGCAGUGUUUCAGCAUCAAGAGGUUGACUCCCAUUCCAUCGUGGUGACGGGGAAAAAAUGAAUCACAUUAUGUCUCUGUGAGUAUAAAAUUGAAAUCAAUGAAGAUCUAUUGCUUUUCCUUCAUAGAGGAGCCAGUCCCAUCUUCCCCAAUUCCUCUGUUCAAUCUCCCUGUCCCAGCUGUUCUACUCACCUCCAAACCCUGGAUGAGCCAGACUUGGAUGACUUAGUCACCCAAAGAGGCCACAAGUUUUGGACAGACCUUGUUAACCCCUGCUGUUCAAUAGACAUGACUUUGAUGGGCGUACGAGUAGGUUGAGCAGGUGCAUUCCUGUAGCUGUGGUCCCCAUGGCUGGGUGUGACAUCCCCCAUCUAAAGGAGGGUCCAAAGGAAGGAAGAAGUGUCCAUAUGGAGGAAAGCAGAGAUGACACAACAUUGCUCUGAGAAGUCACAAGGUGCCAGCACUUAGACAGCAAAAACAGGAAUAAAAUUGCAGGUCUACCAUGAAUGGUGCUACAAAAGCACUGAAGAGCUCAAUUUGUGUAAGCCCAGCCUCGUCAAGUGGUGGGGAGCAGAGAGGACGGAGCACACUGACAUCAUCUCCCAAACAUCAUUACACAUUAUUAAUACUGUUUCCCUCUGCUUCUGAUCUUCCUUUGGGGAAUUUUCAUACUCCUUUUGGCCAUAAGCACAAAAGGGAUGAGAAAUGGAAAACAGGAUUUUGGAUGGCUAUUGCAUCUGUUGUGACAAAUGUAUAGCAAAGUCAAGCUUUAAAGUGAGCUGUUUGCUUGUUGGAGUGUAGCAGCUCUGGAGCUGUCAUCGGGUGUAGUAUUGUGUAAAUAUAUAUUCAGGCACUUCUUAUGGAAGUGGAUAUGUGACCCAAUAGGCUUUAUUUAGCUCCUUCUGGCAACUGUGGGAAUGCAUUUUUUUGGCAUAUACAAGAGCAAUCAGAGUAGAUUCAGCCCUGUAGAAUUAAGGACUUAAGAGGGAUGUAGAGAUAACAAGUGCCUCAUUUGGAGGCCGAGGUUUUGCCCAAGAGGGAGGUGAAGUCCUGAGCCACUACAGAAAACAGGGGCUUUUUUUUCUUCAAAGCAUGUCAGGUUUUUCCUUCAUUGCUCAAGGUAGCAAAACGGUGUGACUCUACACUGUGGGUUAGUAUGGAGAGAUCUGAAUUUGCUUUACGUGGAGGCUUCAAAAAGAGAAAUAUCCUGUGGCGGUCCACGUUGCUACUUACCAUCUCCUUUGUAACUAUGGCAGGGUCCAGAUGAGACAUCUAGAUGCUCUGAGGCCCUGGGGAAUCAAAAUGUGACACUUUGGGGCUGCAAAAAAGGUCCAGGUUUGAAGAUUUUAGGUAAAAAGUUAAUUUUUAAAAAGCAGAAUGUUUUGAUAAAAACAGAUUUGUUUUCAAUUAACUAAAAAUUACUUUGGGCUGAAGAAUGUUCUUUACAAAGACAAUUGAAAGGUUAGUUUUAUAUUAGAAUAAUUAUAUCAGUUAAUAAAUAUAUUCAUUUUAUGUAUUUAUAUUUAUUCAAAACUUGUUUGAUGUUAUUUGAAGAACCCAUCACAACUAGCUUUAAAUUUGAGAUUGUUCCUUUUCCCUUCUUUUAUUGGAAACUUGGGUUAACUUAAAAUUCUCCUUUUCUGAUAUCAAGAAAUAAAGUAUUUAACAUGUCCCAAGAAAUUAAAUAACAUCAGAAAAAAAAAAAUCUAAAAGCUCUUACUGAGCUUUGUCCAAAAAAUCUGACUGUGGUGCACUUCCUUUCUUUUGUCUGAUAACUCGAAGUUAGAAUUAAAUAAAACCGAUGAUAAGCACAUCCCAAAGGCAGGGACAAGCAGUAGGGUUCAAUAGUCACUUUCUGGAGGUCUCUGUCUCAGAUAUGGAUCAGAUUUCCUCCUGUUUACAUGUAAGAAGGUUGUGAAGAUCUGCAAUUUCAAGAUACAUCUGGUUCCCGCAUCAAAUUAAACAACAACUAAAGCCUGAGUGCUGGGGCAGAUUUUAAAAAUGUAGGAAUGAAUGUGUGUUUAUAUAGUAUUUGCAUUAAUGCUUCCUACGGUUUAUUUUGAAAGUGAAGAAAGAACAUUGCAUGGUAGGCAAUUUAACCCAAACAAUAUCGGUUUAAAGUUAGGGGCAUGCUCCUUGGAAUAUUUUCUUAGUGUUUUGAAGUGUCCACUUGAAGAGGGAGUGGGAAGGGGAGGGGGAAGAAAAGGAUUGUUCUGUCUUCUGCUCUGUGUUUGGCCUGGCUCAGUAGGGCUAUUGCUGUUGCUCAUCUGGUAUGGAUUAGUCCUUCUCUCUCACACUCUGUCAACUUGGGUGUUCUGCAUGCAGGCUGUUUCUGCAGGGGUCUUGGUUUUGCUUUUUUUAACGGCAGGAAGUGCCCCACUCAGACCACAUGUGAAAUUGUGUGGGAACAGUGGGGGGGGAUGAAAGAGCCCCAUCAAACAUACCAAAAAUGUGGGUGGAGAGACAGGGAGCGUAAGCGGAGAGAUACCAGCUGAGUAAUUUAACCUCCUGGGCUGGCCAGGCUGGGGACACAGUGGAAGUUUGCUGCCUUAAAAGUGUCUGUUGCUCGUGACAUCAAUUUCUGAUAUUUUUAUAUCGGGGGGCUGUUGGAAGUGUAAGGGAUUACAGCUGCAGCUUAAUUUGUUCUAAAUUUCCUGCUAGCCUCACCAGACAUGUACAGGAAAUAGGCAGUAAAUGUUUAAUAGGUAAUACCUAACUGGACAAUUAACAGGUGCUGUCACAUUGAAAAUCCAAGCCUGAGUGUGCGGGUGCACCUUGGGGACUUGGAGCAUCGUCAGCAGUGCUGCCUGGGUAGCAUCCGCACAGAGCUGCAUCCCAGCACAGUGGUACCCAGCCUGGAGAUGCCAGAAGUCCCUCACAUUCCAACAUUCCCCCCCAUUCCGAUGUCCAUGCUUGGAUCCAAGGAGAUUUUUUUAUUUUUAAACCUCUCUCUGUUGAUUUUGCUGUUUGCACGAAUAAAUGCAACCACAGCAACUGGUCCAGGCUGCAGUGUGGGAUGCUGGGAAGCCUCCUUGCAUCUAUUUAGUGUUCAAACUCCUUGCUUGUUGUUCACAGCCUGGAAGGGGAAAAUCCAAUGCUUAUUAAGUGAUAGAAAAUGGUAACCUGUUUUUCUGGGUCAGAAUAAAUGUGUCUGUCCUGCCACUCCUGUUCUACCACAGACCAGCAGAUGCCUUCAGACAAAAAUAAAAUUGCAAUGGGCAGAGUGUAUUAAAUUAUCUUUCCCUUCUGCACUUUCUCAGCUUCUGGCAGCCAGCAGGUAUGGGGUUUCCUGAUCCGGAGUCUGUAUCUGGACUUUUAAUAGUCAUUGAUGGAUGCUUUUUUCCUAAUUUCAAAUUAUAUAGAUAUAUAUAUAUUUUUUUUUUUUUUUUUCUGCUGUCCAUAAAAUCCUGUGGCAACAAGUUCUACAAGUUAAUAGCAUGUUCUGUGAAAAGUACUUAAAAUUAUUUUAAAUCUCAAUGUUAAAUGUGACUUUAAUCAAAUAGGGGUUUUUACCAGUAGAAAGUAAUUUCUAAAUAAAUUAUCCACAGGAUUUUCAAGAUCAUGAAAAUCAGAUGGUGUCAACCAGACACAGUUCCUGGGAUUGACUUCUCUUUCUUAAGAUGCCAAUUAAAUAAAAAAAUAUUUUUAUUAUUACACAAUUUCUAUUUAUAUAUUAUUAUUUCUAUUAAAUUCUAUUGCAUUAUAAAUAGUAUUAUACUGCAAUUAUUUUGCUGCAAUGGCAGUAAUCCUUUGCAAUUUUGCAUUUAUCAGCAGAUAAAAUAUUAGAGAAUAACCCUUUUUCAACCUUCAACCUCCUGUAAUGAUUAUGAGCUUGCAAUUAAGUUCUGAUUGUUCAGAAUAAUUGUAUUUCCAAUGAAGGUAGAAUUAGGUUAAUUGAAUUGCUGUUAUUACCUUCAGAGCAAUAUUGUUUUAAUAUGUUUGGCCGACAUAAAGCAAACCUCUCCUUUGGAAUUUGCUUUUAUUAAGUUCAAGUCCAAUCGAGUUCAAAAGAUCCUCCUGUAAAACCUAGCUGUCCCCUAAUAGUGCAUGACUAAUGUCCUACACUUGGCUUUCCUAUAAAUCGCUCUCUUUACUGAGCAAUUUCUGUGUCAAUACUCAGACAUCCUUAUCAGCACUUGAUGUUCAAGUAAACCAACUCUUGUUAAUGACUACACGGAUGGGGAGGGGUGAAAAAAGUAACAUUGCACAGACCUCGAGACUCCUGCUCCAUCUGAACUUUGAAGUCCAGCUGUUAAUAGCAGCGUUGACUACUUACAUAAAAAUGUGUAGUAAACUAAACUGACAUUGUCUGAUUUCAAGUGAUUGGUUUAAACCAUCCCAAAUGGCCAAAGCUUCCACCUUUUUUUCAUCUCUCUGUCUCGGAGCCUGUCACUCAGGAUGAUUAACGUUGUUUUGCGAUAGGAAGGCUAUUGUCCUAGCCUGAAAAAAGUAAACAUUUUUACAGUUGGGAGCAAGAAAAAUUUCAAUCAAGUUCCCUUUCGCAUGAAAAAGGGAUCUCCAGCUGCUGUUUAUUAUCUCUCUGUUUACAUCACACAUGUGCAUGUGGAGGACAAAGUAGUUCAAUAAAUUACUUCUCUACUCUCGAGUUGGCCAUUACAGGCUGCCAGGAACAAAAGCAUUUAAUGGUUUGUUGAAUGCCUCUGAAUGUUCCUACAGUCAUUUUUAACUCUCACCAAGUAGCUGAUCUGCUCUCAUCUGCUUUACCACUUCGUUGAGGUCCCAGAGCAUUUUUUGCAUUGCAUGCGGUAAAAUGAAAGUGAGAUAAAUUAUAUCCAUGCUCCACUGUUAUAGCAGUUAAUACAUAGCAGCAUGGGAUCACGUAUCACACUGGCCUAUCUGACAUUAGGGAUGUGAAUUGUCACCCUGGGAUUGCCUUCCAUCAGGUUUGAUAAAGUUACCAACACCUCGCUUUUAUACUCAGUAAUUUACCUAAUAUCUCCAUUUCUGGGCUUCUGGUAGACAGGGGUUGAUGGUUCAGCUCAGCACAAAGCAAAUGGAAGCAAUGUCCUUCCCAGAUAGGCAAUUCCUUGCUUUGUCCAUCAUAUACUGAACCUCUUUCAUUAUGCUCCAAGCUGUCAUCAAACAAAUGUUGUCCAGGGUGUAACCAGGCAUGCAGUAACAGAAAUCUCAGUAGUGUGUGCAAGUUGGGCCUAGCACACAGGAAAAUUCAGAUAUUCUGUUUUUAUUUAAUAUUCACGUCAGUUGGCACUGAACAAGAACAUCUAGGUUUUCAACAAAAUCAAAAAGGCAAAGCACUGCAAGGAGGGCUGGCAGUACAGUGAUAUUGGGCUGAAACACAAGCUUCCCUUCUCCUAGCCAUUUUUACAGACCUCUGGGAGUGAAAUGUAUUAAAUUUACUGGACAUGCUGGACCCAGUUCAAGCUCUGGGAUCAGUUACCAUAGAUCUGCAUCCAAGCCCUACAUCUUAUCACAUAGCAAGUCCAUCCAGCCAGCAGGUGUGACUUUAACAUUAACAAUCCACUUCCCAUUCACUUGCUGUCAUCCCAACAAAAAGCUGGAAAGUUCUCUCAAUGGUCUUUCAGAAAUAGAGGUUUCAAAGCGUAGGAUGUACUUGUAAAUACACUUUAAAGCAACACCACAAAAAAUGGUCUUUAGGGAAUUAAAACUUGCAAUAUGGGAGAAAAUCCACAAUUGGAGCCCACCUCAACAUCAUCUCAGAGGAAUGUUGUCAUGAAAAGAGGUCUAGCCCCUGUCAUUCUGAUACAGAUUAAGGAUGAAAAGUUGGGGGGAGAACCCCAAAAGAGCUGCCUGCACAUUUAUUUAGGUUUUCAAAAGAGAAGUAGCAGCUAAUAUUUAUGUAAUUCUAAAAUAUUUGGAUACCUUUCUUUGGCCUGCAUUUGGGCUCAAGUAGACAGUGCAUCACAACGAAGAAGGCAGUUGUCUUUGUAGCAUCAGGAACAGAAGCAAUGAGGAGCAGGAAUUUCCCACAGACAGCUUGUUCUGGUGCAAUUUUCCAUCCCAGGUUUCUUAACUUAAGAAAUGUGAAUAUUUAUAAGCCUCACAAACCAAAUGAACUCUGGGAGGAUCCUCUGACCAAAACCCAAUAUUUUUCAGACUUGCUGGUGACCACGUUCAACUGAAGUUUCACGAAGACUGAAUUAGCACAGUGGUUGCAGUCAGUCAAAUAAAGACACUGACUUUCUUGAUUCAUUCUUGGCUAAGAUCAAUCUCUUGUACAUUCCUACCUUUCACCCCUUACUCAUUAAGUGGAAAAUCCAAAGUUUCCUUUACUCAGGUUUGAGCUUGGACUGAUGUGAUGUUUACUGACUGAAACAGUGGUUUUCAAACGACAUCAGGAACAUCUGGCCUCCUGGCUUGGCAGAGAGCCCAGCAAAUUGCCAAUCCAAAGGCCCAAGUUCAUGAACAGCUUUGGGGCUUUCAUUCUGUAACAAGAAAACCCUGAGGGCAGUGGAGAUAGUACUACUCCUCCCUAUUUAAUUGUGCUGCUUUGCUACCUGUGUGCUCCACAGCUGACCUCUAUUUGCUCCCAGAGUCCUCAGACCAAGGUCCUGCAGAUGUCCAUCCAGGCUGUGCUAUGGUGCCCUUGUCUCUCUCUACAUUCCCAUUGUGUCCCAUCACUUUCAACAGCUCCCGCUGGCACAGGUGAUGGGAGCCAUGAGGCAGAUGAGACAGAGAAAGUUUGUCCUCCCUCCAAGCAAGGACAACACACAUCCCUGUGUAUCCUGAGAAGGUCCCACCCUACCAUACUUUCUGUGUUUCCAUCUGUCUUAGGGACUGCUAGUUCCUAAGGCACCUGAAAAGCCUGUGCCAUGCAAAGGAUUAAACUCAAGGCUCCAAACUCUUGGUUUGAGCAGCUGACCAGAAGACCAAGCUGACAUUUUGUCAGCAAAGACCACCUGGAAAACCCAGCAGCAGCAGAUGUUCUGCAUACAGAAAGCAUUUGAAUCUACUGCAGUUUACAGCUCCACACAGGUUUCAAAAGCUAAUUCAGUAAUACUUUACUUGUGUGAGUUGCUUCUUCUCCAACAAGUAAAUCCAUUCUCUCCAGAAAAUGGAUAAGUAAGACUUCACCUGCAACAUGAGAUUGGAUCUCACUCUGAGGAAGCUUAAGUAUUAUGACCUGGGCCCAUCUGGUUUGGAUCACAUCCUCUGUAACGAGUUGUUGACUGGAGCAUAAAAACUUAACCAGUGCUAUGCUGCUGAGGUAUGCAUUGCUAAACAACAAGCAGUAGAUCCCUGUUUAUGUUCUGUAUAUAUGUCAUUGCAACAUACCUUGUCUAGGGAAACAACGGUGCUUGUUUACAUGCAGAAAUUCUCUGAAGGUAGAGGAGCUGUGGCUUUCACCGCAUGGAAAAUGCAUGUGGAGAGGGUCACGGUCAAGUUAAAAGUUUGUUUGUUAGAAAACAAAUCACAAAACAUGGCCCUACAGGGAUUAGCACCAGUUGUCUUGAACUGGUUAGUGAGGUGAGGGGGACAAGCAGCCAGGGGAAAAAAAAAUGUUUCCAAAAAUCAGUGACUGACUGCCAAGAGAACAGCGCGUCUCCGUCCUGACCUCCCAUGAGCUCUGAACUCUGCUGGCACUGUCCAGCCUCCUUCCCUGAGAAAUGCAAAGCUUAUGGAGAAAGUCAUCUUUGUUUCAUGAGAUAUUUACAUUAGAGAAGGGAAGGUCUUUUGUAUAUUGUCCCUGACCUUUGCAAGGAGGAGGGGGAAUUGUAAUCAGGUUUCACGAUCACAAUUUUCACAGCUGCACAUAAUAAUUUGAUUCAGGUAUUUGAUUCAUGCACUGAAGCUGAAAACUUGUCUAGAACUAACAAUUGCUCUGGUUUCCCACAGACUGUUCUGCAGAGAUAUACCCUCUGCCUGCCCAUUGACCUGGGCAUGGACCAUGCAUGGAAACCUUUAGUGCUGAACACUGUAAGAAAGGGAAAAGGAAUCAAGAAGUUAAAUUAAAAUGUCUGUGCUUGGCACUCUGUUGUGUCUGAUGAUUUUUUUUUCUUCCAAACACUCACAAAUGAAAAGGAAGAGCUAAUAGGAGUUUGGCUCCAUGUGCUCUUCCUGAGACAGAGUGGGGUCUACAGAAUUUCCUGCUCCUGUGCCGCUAUCUUAGAAAGGCUUAAAAACAUAGCCAGGUCCAAGAAAAAUCAAAGGACAUCUCUGAAAAGGGAUGCAGAAUUUCCAAAUCCAAGGGUGGGAGCUGCAUUGAUAUGGCGAAUUACAUGGAGGUGGAAAAAGGAAGCAGGUUCAGUGUAAGAUUUCACAUGGCCUUUGGUGCCUCUGCAGUGUAAUGGGGAGAUGGGGUGGGGGUGCCUGGAUGUGGGAGAGGAAAGAUUCAGGCUCCUUAUUUCCUCUCUAACAAAACACAGUCACCAUUUCAAAUACUGCCCUACAUGACAGUAACAUGUAAUUGCACUGAAGUCCAUGGUUGGAAGAUUUGUCCCUCCAGUGCUGAAGCUAUCGGGAUUUUAAUGUGUGGGGUCUCCCUCUCAUGAUGUCAAGGCACUGUGGGUCAAAAUAAG